Vombatus ursinus (common wombat) is the source of this 1123-nucleotide long non-coding RNA. RefSeq lists it as uncharacterized. Lineage: Eukaryota; Metazoa; Chordata; Mammalia; Diprotodontia; Vombatidae. The record is from RefSeq and is a predicted model, not a curated record. The transcript is spliced from 3 exons.
CAUUAUCAGAAUUCCUCAUAAACAUAACAAGGAUAUGUGUAAUCUAACCGUGUCUUUUUCUGCGUUUAUCAUGCUGAGACUAAAUAAUAACAACCAAAAAAGCUUUCCUCCCAGAACCUCCCCUUGUGGGGUUUCACAGUGGGGCCCAUGCUGUCUAAAGCCCUUAUUUUGACAGAUAAUUAAUUUUCCCUUGCUACCCUGACAAUACUUAAUGAAAGAGAUGCUUAAAGUCCGGUCAUCCAAAAGAGAAACAGAUGUGUUUCUACAGCACGCUUACUAUCUGCAGGCUCAGGCAGUAGCCGCAAAACUACCUUGUAGAAUUGAUGCCAUGCUUUAUCAUUCUCCAGGUCUUGCUGGGCCAGUGCCUAAGAAAUACGGAGAAGACCCUUUGCUCAUUUAAAGAUUGCAUCUCAUAGAGAGCUGUGGCUAUCAGAGAGCUAAAACUCCCAUAUGCAAUUACCAAGAAGGCUGACUGUGAAUGCCACCUCCCUUCUCGGACAUCAGAAGAUAUUCUGGAGGGUAAUAUGGAAUGGAAUUCUGGUGUCUCCCUUUGUCUGUGACAUGAGCUGUGAUUUCAUCAGUAAACAAGUCUUAGAAGAGGUAACUACCAACACCGAUGACUACCUUCUCUGCAACCUGUGUCUUUGGAGGAUCAUUUAGAAUGCUGAGAGGCAUGUAAACAGAUGAACAUGUCUCUGCAAAGGAACAAAGAUCCAGACAGUUAUAGGACAAAGAGAAAAGUAGCACCAUCUGAAAAUAAACAAGCCUGAACUUCAUCUACACUGAAUGUAAGAGCAACAAGAAACGUAAUUUUUAAGUCUCAUCUUAUUUUGAUUUUAGGAGUCUCUAUAUUAACUUCUCUUUAAAACUAGAGACCUUUUCUACAACCCUGAACUGAAUAAUUAAAGUCACACUUUAGAGAUAACAGCAAUCUUGGAAAAUGAAUCAGAAUCUUAUACUCUUAGAGGUGGAAGGGAAAUCACAGGCCAACUAGGCCAACUCAUACCUAACUAAUCUGGCCUUUCCCCAAGAAGCUCAAACGAGGCCUUGUUUUGACACUUACUGGCUCACUAAGAAUAUAUGUCACUUAUUCUCUCUGACUUGUGGUUUCCUUAUCUAUAAA